UGGUCUGACAGCUCAUACACGUAAAAUCAGGACAAUACAGACAAGAUUAGCAUGGCUCCUGCUCAGGAAUGACACACACAUUCGUGAAGACUCCCUAAUCAAA
This is a small nuclear RNA of Peromyscus eremicus (cactus mouse), 103 nucleotides long. The record is from RefSeq and is a predicted model, not a curated record. Lineage: Eukaryota; Metazoa; Chordata; Mammalia; Rodentia; Cricetidae.